RNAcentral lists this ribosomal RNA (164 nucleotides) under Bupleurum chinense. RNAcentral describes it as "5.8S ribosomal RNA". It matches the Rfam family "5.8S ribosomal RNA". Rfam says of the family: 5.8S ribosomal RNA (5.8S rRNA) is a component of the large subunit of the eukaryotic ribosome. It is transcribed by RNA polymerase I as part of the 45S precursor that also contains 18S and 28S rRNA. The record is from RNAcentral. Lineage: Eukaryota; Viridiplantae; Streptophyta; Magnoliopsida; Apiales; Apiaceae.
ACGACUCUCGGCAACGGAUAUCCCGGCUCUCGCAUCGAUGAAGAACGUAGCGAAAUGCGAUACUUGGUGUGAAUUGCAGAAUCCCGUGAACCACCGAGUUUUUGAACGCAAGUUGCGCCCGAUGCCACUAGGCUGAGGGCACGUCUGCCUGGGUGUCACGUAAA